AUGAGCUGCGCUGCAGAUAACAAGAUGUGGCGAGGAGAAGCGGCUGGUCCAGGACACAGAACGGGAAUUAACAAAUAAGAUGAUCACCCCAAAACCUGGAAAGACUUAAAUGAAGUGAUGCAAAGUGAAGUGAGCAGAACCAGGAGAAGGUUAUACACAGGAACAGCAAUUAUGUAUGAUCAACUGUGAAUGACUAUUAUCAACAAGAUUUUAAAGCCUCCAUUUCCUGGAAGGAUUAAGUAUGGAUAUGUUUCCUCAAGGGGUAAAGAACCAAAAGAGAAACUAUAAUAACAGCAACAUGCUUGAUGGGGUUCAAUGUAAGCCCUGAAACAUUUUAUCAAUUCAAUCUCAAAAGACUUAUUAGUGAUAGGAAAAAAUUUUCAUGCUAACUCAUGGACCUAACUAACCAAGAUUUACCUUAAAAAAAUUAAAAUCAAACUAACUUCAAAGUUCAUGAACUACACAAACAUUAUCUAUUAGUCACUUAUAGCCCUGUUGUCUCAACAAGUAGAGAUUAAAUUCCUUAAGAUUUUGCUAAAUAAGCCUUCUGAAUUAUACCAUUCAUAUUAAAAUUACCCAAAAUUAUUUUUAGAAACUCACUGAUAUACUGUUUCUGUAUUCCCAUAGCUAUAGGGCUCUACACUAAGUCCUGAUCAUGUUUCCAAUUUAUAACAGUAGCACCUUGAUAGAAUCUUUUCCCUGUGGCAUAUAUGUAUAAAAAUGUUAUUCACUUUUGUAGACGGACAAUUUGUAUUAAAUUGUCCAAAGAUAACAAUGGUUAAAAAUUCAGUUAUAAGUGUGUUUUAUACUUAAUGUAAUCCCUACAUGGCCUCAGUAUAAUCAAGUCUCUGUAAACAAUUGUAUAGUUCUUUUAGGGAAUUUUUUUUUCCAGGAUAGUAAUAAAAUAUUUUAGAAAUUCUUAAGAAGGACA
RNAcentral lists this long non-coding RNA (931 nucleotides) under Monodelphis domestica (gray short-tailed opossum). RNAcentral describes it as "lncRNA (ENSMODG00000050217.1)". Lineage: Eukaryota; Metazoa; Chordata; Mammalia; Didelphimorphia; Didelphidae. The record is from RNAcentral.